AGAUGUGAGGGUGAUCUGGCUGCGACACCUAUCACCCCAUGGAUCGUCAGGGUUGAUUCGGCUGAUCCGGCUGGCUAGGUGGGUAUCCCCUUCCUCCCUCUCUCUCCAAGUACGUCCCUCCCAAAGCUGCGCACUCAAAGAGGAUGACCAUCCCCGAUGGAGGAGGACCCAGCUUUGGUCAAGGAUGUAUGAGUAGCCAUGCUCCCCUGCUAGAACCUCCAAACAAGCUCUCAAGAAUAAGCUAUGUUCUGUCACAAGGUUUUUCUUUUUUUCUAGCAGCUGAACAAGCAAUGGCCUCAAGAUAAGCAAGAUGAAAAUAAUCAUAGCUCCCCGCCAGAUGCUGACUGACCCUCUUC
Molecule: unclassified non-coding RNA, 356 nt
Organism: Gorilla gorilla gorilla (western lowland gorilla)
Lineage: Eukaryota; Metazoa; Chordata; Mammalia; Primates; Hominidae
Gene: 7SK
Rfam family: 7SK RNA
About the family: 7SK was discovered as an abundant small nuclear RNA in the mid-70s but a possible function has only recently been suggested. Two independent studies have found that 7SK RNA binds the CDK9/cyclin T complex (known as elongation factor P-TEFb).
Source: Ensembl